UUGGAGGGCAAGUCUGGUGCCAGCAGCCGCGGUAAUUCCAGCUCCAAUAGCGUAUAUUAAAGUUGUUGCAGUUAAAAAGCUCGUAGUUGAAUUUCGGAAUCAAUUUGUUGGUCGUGCCUCGGUACGUACUGGUAUUAUUGGUUUCUACCUUCUGAAGAACCUUGAUGUCAUUAGUUUGGUGUCUUGGGGAAUCAGGACUGUUACUUUGAAAAAAUUAGAGUGUUUAAAGCAAGCAUACGCUUGAAUACAUUAGCAUGGAAUAAUGAAAUAGGACGUUUGAUUCUAUUUUGUUGGUUUCUAGGAUCGACGUAAUGAUUAAUAGGGAUAGUUGGGGGCAUUAGUAUUCAAUUGUCAGAGGUGAAAUUCUUGGAUUUAUUGAAGACUAACUACUGCGAAAGCAUUUGCCAAGGAUGUUUUCAUUAAUCAAGAACGAAAGUUAGGGGAUCGAAGACGAUCAGAUACCGUCGUAGUCUUAACCAUAAACUAUGCCGACUAGGGAUCGGAUGAUGUUAAUUUUUUAAUGACUCAUUCGGCGCCUUACGGGAAAC
RNAcentral lists this ribosomal RNA (548 nucleotides) under uncultured Glomus. Its description in RNAcentral is "SSU rRNA". It matches the Rfam family "Eukaryotic small subunit ribosomal RNA", at positions 548 to 1098 of the family's 1831-position model. Lineage: Eukaryota; Fungi; Glomeromycota; Glomeromycetes; Glomerales; Glomeraceae. The record is from RNAcentral.